This 797-nucleotide ribosomal RNA is filed under the name uncultured archaeon. RNAcentral describes it as "bacterial SSU rRNA". It matches the Rfam family "Archaeal small subunit ribosomal RNA", at positions 85 to 880 of the family's 1478-position model. The record is from RNAcentral.
ACGGCUCAGUAAACGCAGACACAUGCCCAGGGGACGUGGAUAACCUCGGGAAACUGAUGAUAAACCGCGAUAGGUCAUCACUUCUGGAAUGGGUAAUGACUUAAAUCUUCUGGCCCCUUCAUUGAUUGGACUACCAUCGAUCAGGCUGUUGGUGAGUUAAUGGCCCACCAAACCUGUAACCGGUACGGGCUCUGAGAGGAGGAGCCCGGAGAUGACCAGUGAGACUAUGGAACGGGUCCUAUGGGUCCCAUCGCUGCGAAUACUCUGAAAUUCGCCAGAGCCGGACAGGGUUACUCUGAGUGACUUUCUAUAGAAAGUCUUUAGACACCUACAAAAAGGGUGGGGAAUAAGGGCUGUACGAGCCUGGUGUUGCCCCCGCGCUAGUACCAGCACCCACCGUGGUCGGGACCAUUAUUGGGCCCCAGAAUCCGUAGUCGGUUCUUCAAUUACCCGUUUAAAUCCAGCUACUAGACGAAUCGCCCGCGAAGGAUACUACAUAGCUAAGAGGCAGGAGAGGCAAGCGGGCAAUCGCCUGGGUAGGGGUGAAAUCCCUUUGAUCCAUUGGUCACUGCCACAUGCCGCACGCAGCUUGCCAUAAUGCGCUCAACCGAGACCUGAUUAUACCUGGGGGAGCAAACCACCUAAGAUACCCACGGUAGAUGCCAGCCGUAAACAUGCAGACUCGGGGAUGGUGAUCUAUUCGCGCUUACCCAGAUGCCGCCGGGGAUACCGUAUCUCUGCCGCCUGGGUAGUACGUUCGCAGCACUGAGACUUAAUUGAAUUGGCGACUUAGCACA